Saccostrea cuccullata (small rock oyster) is the source of this 485-nucleotide long non-coding RNA. RefSeq lists it as uncharacterized. The record is from RefSeq and is a predicted model, not a curated record. Lineage: Eukaryota; Metazoa; Mollusca; Bivalvia; Ostreida; Ostreidae. The transcript has 3 exons.
UUUCAGGGACAGGUUAGUGUUUUACAAUUGAAAACUUCUGUUUAAAAAUAAUAAUUCCGAAUUUGUUUCAAAAAAUGAUAUUCAUAAGUAUUAGGAUUUGGAAUUAUAUUUACCUUGUAUAUUUCAGACGUAUUGUAAUCAAAAUGGUGGAGCUUUAGUGAAUAUCGAAAAUGCUGAAGAAAACGCAUGGAUCGCAACACAAUUUACACAAAAUUCCAUAUGGAUUGAUGCAACGGACAUUGGAAACGAGGGAGUUUGGAGAUCGUUUUCCACUUGUCAACCCACGCUCAAUAACUGGUCACGAGGAAAUCCAAAUAACUGGCGUGGAUCCCAAAACUGUGCAACAAUAAACUAUGGAGGCUCGGGAAAGUGGGAUGAUGACAACUGCUUCAAAAACCGUACAUUUAUUUGUGAAUCGUUUAAUUAGGAAAUGCAUGAUGAAUGCUUAUGUAUCCAGAAAAGUGAGACAAUUUUUAAUAAAUUAU